UACGGGGGGGGCAAGCGUUGUUCGGAAUCACUGGGCUUAAAGGGCGCGUAGGCGGGUCGGCAAGUCAGGGGUGAAAUCGUUCGGCUUAACCGGACAACUGCCUUUGAUACUGCCGGCCUUGAGGGAGGUAGGGGUCUGCGGAACUUCCGGUGGAGCGGUGAAAUGCGCAGAUAUCAGGAGGAACACCGAUGGCGAAGGCAGGUCUCUGGGCCGAUACUGACGCUGAGGAGCGAAAGCGUGGGGAGCAAACAGG
RNAcentral lists this ribosomal RNA (253 nucleotides) under uncultured bacterium. RNAcentral describes it as "partial 16S ribosomal RNA". It matches the Rfam family "Bacterial small subunit ribosomal RNA", at positions 524 to 776 of the family's 1533-position model. The record is from RNAcentral.